CUCUUCUUUUUUUUUAUUGUCCCGGCUUGGCGGUGCAGUGCGCUCCCACCACCGCACGCAAGCACUGUGGAGAGGCGUACGCGUGUCUCUCUAACCUGUCACUUCAUCGCUCACUCUCUCAAGCGCGCAUACUCUUCUUCUUUGCUUUUAUUUGUUGGAUCUGCGCUUGUGCACCCGCCACAUUUUCCGUGGUUGAGUGUGAGUGCCCGUCUGUCUCUGUAUGCCUACACGUAUUGCCGUCCGUGUAGUGACAGCAGCAGCAGUAGCAGCAGCAGGAGGUCCACGAGGACACGCAGCCAUCCACUAUUAUAGAAAGCGGGCCGGAAGAGACGCGUGCAGUGCGAGCUGCAAACUGGUUGAUCUCACUUUCUCAGCACUGCAGAGAAAUCAACGCGAAGCGGCAACCGAGAAGGCAGCGGCAGUCGUGCCUUGCUGCGCAGUACUGUGACGUAUCAGAGGCCGGAGGCGACGAUUCAGGAGAGGCAGAAAGUUGAGGAGCCGUGCGUUGCCUACUCGCUCUCUCGUGCCGCGCCUCCUUUUGUAACCCACCCACGAACGCAUCCAUCAUCAGCCGCUCGGCAAGAGCGAAAACAAGAGCUCACCACACGGCCCCCUCCCCCUCCCUCCUCUCUUUCUUUGUUCGUUGGUUUCCCUGUUUUCUCUCCGCGCCCGCGCAAGUAGCGACGGGGACACCCAACACGCAGACACAUGCGCGCCGGCGUGCGGGUGCGCAGUCCUCCUUUUCAUUCGAUCUUCUGCUGCCCGCUUUGGCGCGUGCGUGCGCAUGGUUGUGGCGUACGCCCUGCCAGACUCCCCUCUCGCCUCCUCCUCCGCCACAGGGCCCCUCUUUCUUUUUUCGCUCCGUGGCUCACUUGUAGCCUUUAGAUUCACAAGGGCUGCCGCUCACGGCCGCACCGCACUGCACCCCUGCCUCCAUCCCUCCGCCACCCCAGGAAGACGAAGAUGGCGAUGACAGAGGCGAAUCAGGAUUGCGUGCAGUGGGUGGAGCGGCGCCUACAGGACACCCUUGGAUGUACCAUAGCCAGCGAGCUCAUAGAUCACCACUACUUUCUGAUCAAUGAGUUCCUCAUGGGCGAAGACGCGCAGUACCGUGUGCUGUUCGCUUACUACGCCGAACCCGCCGUGACGGCUGCUCACCAGCGGCGCUCAGCUGCGGGCCGUCGCGCCUUCAACAACGGCAGCAGUGCCAGAAAUUCCAAGCUGAGUUCCCGGCGGCAGACGAAAGGCAGCGGCAUAGGUCUCAACCGCAGCCACCCCGACAGCGAUGAUGAAGACUGUGUUGACGGCACUGCCGCGUCCUCGUACUUUGCUUUCGCCGGCGCCGACGGUAGCCGAGCCUCGAAUGGAAGCGACUGGGGCGUUUCUAGCGGACCGCAGCCCCCGCAGUUGCAGAUCGUCCCUGGCCUUCCUGAGCUCUCCCUCCGCGGCAACUUGACCGGUGCUAGCACGGACGUGCUUUACUUUGUGCGCCUCGACGCUGAAAAGCCUUUGCUGCGCGAGACGCUGGAGAACUACGUCAUGUGGGGCACGUUCCGAGGUAACUACCUACUGGACAGCUUCCUGCGCACCGUGCGCCAGACGAUUCUGCCGACGUUCUUGCACAACCAGUGGCCGACGAGCAUCAAGAAGGAUGUGCACACGGCGCUUCACCGCUUCAUGGCAACUGUGGUCGAGGACGUGAACAGCUUGAAGGGGCAAACAGUGCUCUACGUGCCAGGUGACCUGGCCGCUGGCGCCAAGAGCGACACGUACGCAGACCACGAACUCGUGCAGCGCUACGAGGCCACGGUGAUCCACUGGACACGGCAGAUCAAGGCUGUCGUCAGCCAGCGCGACACAGCCAGCACCGACGACGAAGGCCAUGCCGGCCCGCUGGAGGAGAUUCAGUACUGGCGGGCGCGGGCGCGAGACUUGGGCAGCAUUCGCUUGCAGCUGAACCGUGACGAUGUGGCGGCUGUCGUGAAGGUGCUGAAGGACGCGAAGUCUUUCUAUUAUCUCGAACCCUUUCUCGGCCUUCGCACCGACAUUGAGCGCGGAACCGAGGAGGCGUACGACAACCUGCGCUACCUGUGCACGCUCAUCGAGCCGUGUGAGCGUCUUGCCAAGGCGGAGCUGCGCGACAUCCCGCACUUGGUGCAGGACGUUCUCAAGAAUGUGCAGCUGAUUUUGAUCUUCUCCAAGUUCUAUAAGAAGGAGCACAUCACACGGCUGCUGCGCAUGGUAUCGAGCGAGAUCAUCGGUAGGUGCAGCAGCCGCAUCAACGUGCGUGCCAUCUUCGCCGGCGACGUCGCAGAAAGCAUGAAAGCGCUGGAGGAGAGUAUGGUUGCUGGUGAGGCGUGGCUGACGGAGUGCCGUCGCAUGCUGGUCGCUACCCGGCGCCGCUUUCGCGUUGAGAAAGGCGAGAAGCUGGAGCUUGACGAGUCGUUCCUGAACGAGAUGGACGGAUUCGUGCGCCACCGGUGCCAAAACCUCCGAGAAAUCUGCCUCAGCCAGCUCCAGUUCGGCUUCACUGGCACGGCUGAUGGCGAGGCCGGCGGGAACGGGGCGGUGUCCAUGUCGGUUGCGCGCUGCAGCAACGUCGUCGCCUCCCAUCGCCGCAUGAGCCGCCGAACCAAGUUGUCGGGGCUUGUGCGGGAACAGCUUCCUGCCGGUUCCCCGCUCAGCGUACCGGAGCUGGACGGCGUGAUACGGCCGCCGGCCAGCCUCUUCGAAGGCAAGCUACCCAUCUUUCGUGGUAAUAAGGGCCCUGAGCUGGAGUCGCAGCUGAUGGACAUCCAGCGUGCCUUCAAGGCUAAAAUGGAGGUGCUACGUCACUUCACGUACAACGUGCUCGAUGUCAAGGCGACACAAUGGGUGGACGACUACCGCGCCCUCAAGACAGACAUCGACAACUUCGCGGUAAUGAUGCGUCAGAUCAUCACUGCCGCCUUUGACGCGGUGACGACGGUGCCGAUGGGGUCCGAGGUGAUCGAGGCCUUCACCCUCAUCAGCAAAAGUGAGGAGCUCCUCAUGCAGCUCGACCGCAACACCGACCGCGUCUUCCGUCUCUUCACGCAGCACAUCAAGUCUGUGCGGGCUGACGUGCAGCGAUACUUUGGUCGCGUGCCACCUCUCUUCUACCGCCACCCGCCGCUCUCUGGUCAGGCGGCGUGGGCUGCCAACCGCUUGAGCUUUAUCACGUGCGCACACGACGCGCUGCGCCGCUGCUACGCCUUGCCGAGCUCCCCUGAGAAGGAUGAGGCCAUGCACCUGUACGACCGACUCGACCGCACGCUGCGCGAGAUGGUGCGCAAGGAGUACGUCCAGUGGACGUCCGAGGUGCCAGCAAAGCCGGCGGAGCUGCUGGAUGUCUACCUUCUCGUGCAGCGACCUGGUACCGGCAUAGACCUCGAGCAUCCGCCACUCUACGACGUGAACUUCCCGAUUAACCUGCUGCUGCUCUUUGCUGAGGCGCACAACUGGCAGCGGAUGGGGGAGACGGUGCCGCCGGAGGUUGCGGAGAUGUGCACCCGCGAGGAGCGGCUGCGCUUCUACCGCGAAAACGUGUCGAUGGCGGUGCGCCUGCACAACGCCUCAGUGCGCUCGCUGAGCAACGCGGAUCUGCGCCUGUUUUCGCUGCGCAUCGAGGCGAUGGAUGCCAAGUACGUACCAGGGCUCAACAAGCUGUGCUGGAACUCGCAGGGCAUUGUAGAGUACUUUGUGCGCGAGUGCCGCGUCCAGGCGGACCGCGUACAGGCUAUCGUCGAUGACUUCAAGUUCUGCGGCACCUUCAUCGACUACCACUGCGGCCUCAUCGCUGACACGCUCUCCGUGCUGGUGGAGAAGAAGGUGAUCUACACCCCUGACGCGUUCGUCGAAAAGCAGAAUGCCUAUCGAGCUGCCGUGGUACAGAAGGUGAGGAAGAUACACGAGCUCAUGGUGCAGAAACUGUACACUGUCUUCCAGUACUUCCGAGAGGACUACAUGGUGAGCGAGACGGUGCGCGCCGAGUGGCACGAUUACAUGGAGCGGGUGGACGUCAAAGUGGAGGAGGCUCUGCGGAUGAUGGUGAAGCGGUCGUUGCUGACGGUGGAGCGGGUGCUGCCGCAGGAAAGUAGCGAGGAUCGACUGGACGAACGCGUGUUCCGACUGAGCGUCAUGAUUAGCGUGGCGGCGGAUCAGAAGCCGGUCAUCCACGCCACGCCAUCAGUGCAGGAGCUGUCGCAGCUCGUGAACGACGUCUGCAAGGCAAUCAUUGGCGUCGUUCGAGGCUUGCCACGGCUGGAGGAGUCGCUGCAGCAGCGCGUCUCCAGCGAGACGGAGGCGUUGCUGACCGAGAACAACACGGUGGCCGUCACCUACGCCCACCCCGGCGGCGCCACGUCGCUGGCGCUGCGCGGCUCCUACUACGAGUACAUGACGAGGGACCAGGACACGAUUCUAACCCUGGGCCGCAUUCAGGAAGCCUUCAUGAGCAUCUCCGAGAAGGUGCGCGAUAAGCUGAACCAGACCUGGCAGCUGCACCAAUCCUCCACGACGGACAAUCUGUGGACGACGCAGCGGCAGGAUCGACGUAUCAAGCAGGGCUGGAAGCUCGAGGACUACCGCAUCAACAUGGACCACGUGGCCCAACGCCGCGAGGGUAUCGAGAAGCAGGAGGUGUUCUCCGACGUGCUCUUCUUGCAGCUGGACUUCACGAAGAUGAAGGAGACGUUCCGGGCACAGUGCCAGUUUGUGAUUCAGCACUACCACGGCCUACUGUACGCCGAGGUGAAGCAGGAGCUCGACAACACGUACGAUUCCUUCAAGUUCACGACGGAGGCCCUCUCUCGCGAGCCCAAGACGCUUGACCAGCUGGGCGAGAUGAUGCGGCAGUGCACCGUCGCCCUCGACGCGCUGCCGUCGGUGGAGGGCCAGUUCGACAUGCUCUCGCAGAAGUUCGCCCUCAUUACGAGCGAGGCGUACAACUUUGGCGGCGUCGAUCCUUCGGAUGUCACGCGGUGCGAGGAACUGCCGGAGGCGUUCGUGAAGUACACGCAGCAGCUGCAGGCGAUCCGCCAGCAGCUCGACGUAUACAAGGAGCAGUUUCGUGUGGAAGUGGAGACAGAGCUGCGCACGCUGGCCUCGAAGAGCUUUGCGCUGUACCAGCAGGUGCGCGACGAGGCGCCGACGUCGUGGGCGCUGACCACCGCGGCAGCCUUUGGCCAGCUGGAGACGCUGGAGCGGAAGGCGGUGUCGCUCCGCGAACUGGAAAAGAGCCUGCAGCAGGGCAUCGAAAUCUUCGCGCUGGAGAAGCCGCCGCUGGACGACUUGGUAAAGGCGGAGGCGCAGCUGAAGGUACUGCGCCGGCUGUGGACGCUGGUGAGGAGCUGGCGCGCUUUUACGCACGCGUGGAAGCACAUGUACUUUAUGAAGCUGAACAGCGAGCGCAUGCUGGAGGACAUCGAGGACACCCGGCGUGAGGCUCUGCAGCUGCGCAAGGAGAUGGAGCAGAUGGACGUGUGGCUGCGGCUGAAGGACGACAUUGACCUCAUCAAGAAGAUCCUGCCAAUCAUCGACGACUUGCGCACGCCAGCUAUCCGCCCCCGUCACUGGGAGCAGCUCAAGGUGCAGCUGGAUACGGCUUUUGAGCUGGAGGAUGAGACGUCGUUCUGCCUGCAGCGGCUGAUGGAGGCGCAUGUGGAGGUGCAGGCGGAGUUCAUCAGCAACAUGGCCAUCGCCGCCCGCGAGGAGCUGAAGAUCGAGACAGACCUCGAGAAAAUCGCGCUUGUCUGGGAGGAGACGUGCUUCACGAUUGAGCCACACCAGGGCUACCACAAGAUCGCCGCCGUCGAGGACAUCAACACAGCCCUGACGGAGCACCUCAUGAUGCUGAGCUCGAUGAAGAUGUCCCGCUUCGUCGACAGCUUCCGCCCGCGUGUGGUGAUGUGGGAGAAGCACUUGUCGCAGGUGGCGGACACGAUCGAAGGGCUACUCUCGGUACAGACCAAGUGGAUGUACCUCGAGAGCAUCUUCAUUGGCAGUGAGGACAUCAAGCGCAAGCUCGUGGCCGAGUCGAAGAAGUUUGACUCCAUUCACGCGCAUUGGCUCUCCAUCAUCGCCCGCCUUGUCAGCGACGCGAACGUGGUCCGCAGCACGCGCCGCGACAACUUGCUGGAGCAGCUGAACAGCAUGAACUCUGACCUCGAGCUGAUCCAGCGCAGCCUGGAGGGAUUUCUGGAGGACCGCCGCCGCUGCUUCCCGCGCUUUUACUUUCUCUCCAACGACGACCUGCUGGAGAUCCUCGGGCACACCAAGGACCCAGAGAAGGUGCAGCCGCACCUGCGCAAGUGCUUCGAGGGGCUCUACCGGCUGGCGCUGAAGGAGGGUCGCAACAACCGCAUCUUUGCCGGGGGCAUGUCAGCCGUCGAUGGUGAGGUGGUGCCGUUCAGCCCGCCGCUGCAGGUGGACGGCCUGCCUGUGGAGGUUUGGCUGCACCGCGUCGAGGUCAAGAUGCGCGAUACGAUAAAGUCGUGCCUGAACACAACUCUGAAAGACCUGCAGGACAACGUUUACAUCCCGCGGCGGCCCAUCAACCGCGACAAGCUUCGACAGUGGGUGGAGCAGCAUGAAGGGCAGGCGCUCAUCACGGCUGCAUGCAUGAACUGGACCUUCCAGACCGAGGUCGCCAUCGCGGAGUACGGCGACCUGCACCAAAACGGCCUCAGCCUCUCCCGCCGAAAGCCCUCACCGCUCUACAAGGUGUACAAGAAGUGGAAGAGUCUCAUCCGAAAAUACUGCCAGAUGGUACGCCAGCCGCAGUCGCGGCUGCAGCGCAACAAGCUCGUGGCGCUUGUCACCAUCGAGGUGCACUCUCGCGACAUCCUGCGCCACCUCCUUGCCCACCGCGUGCACUUGCUGGAGGACUUUGAGUGGACACGGCAGCUGCGCUUCUACCAGGAGAACGCAGGGUUGACCAGUGAAGUCGCGAGCGAAGCGGGCAUGAGCGACGCCAGCGCCGUCAUCACUGCAGGCUCCGGCGAGCCAACGUGCGUGGUACGUCAGACCAGCGCGGUGGUGCGGUACGACUACGAGUACCUUGGCAACAGCGGCCGUCUCGUAGUGACGGGGCUGACCGAUCGUGCCUACAUGACGCUGACAACGGCCCUGCAGCUGUUCCGUGGUGGACUGCCGCAGGGCCCGGCCGGCACGGGCAAGACGGAGACGGUGAAGGACUUGGGCAAGGCGAUUGGCAAGUACGUGAUGGUCUUCAACUGCUCCGACGGCCUCGACUACCGCUCUGUCGGCCGCAUGCUGAGCGGCAUUGCUCAAACUGGCGCGUGGUCCUGCUUCGAUGAGUUCAACCGUAUCGAGGUGGAGGUGCUCUCGGUCGUAGCGCAGCAGAUCAUGUCCAUCUUGUCGGCCGUGUCAGAGCAGAAACGCCACUUCCUCUUCGAAGGAACGGAGAUCCCGCUGAACGUGAACUGUGGCCUCUUCGUCACCAUGAACCCCGGCUACGCCGGCCGCUCUGAACUGCCGGACAACCUCAAGGCACUGCUCCGGCCCAUUUCGAUGAUGGUGCCGGACUUUACGCUCAUCUGCGAGAUCACGCUGCUAUCGGAGGGCUUCGAGGAGUCGGAGUCGUUGUCGAAGAAGGUGUCCAUCCUCUAUGAGCUGAUGGAAAAGCAGCUGUCGAAGCAGGACCACUACGACUUCUCCCUACGCAACAUCAAGGCGGUGCUGGUGCAGGCCGGUAACUUGAAGCGCGAGAACUUCCCGGGUACGGAGCAGCAGCUCUGCCUCAAGGCCAUGAAGGACAUGAACUUGCCCAAGUUUGUGAAGGAGGACGUGCCGCUGUUUCUCAGCAUGCUCGGCGACUUGUUUCCGGGUGUGUCGCCUCAAGGGGCUGGGCUGGAAGAGCUGCGGGCGGCGACAGUCGAUGAGUUGGAGGCGGAGAAGCUGCAGGUAAGCGAGCACAUCAUCACGAAGUGUUUGCACCUUUGGGACACCCUGCACACCCGCCACGGCGUGAUGGUGGUCGGCCGCACCGCAUCUGGCAAGACGAUCACCUGGAGAACGCUAGCGGGGGCGCUGCGGCGACUGAAGGAGGCCGGCGUGGACGGCCCGUACGAGGCGGUGCGCGUCUCGCUGCUGAACCCCAAGUCGGUGACGCUGGACGAGCUGUACGGCAGCUACAACCAAGCGACGCGCGAGUGGAAGGACGGCAUCCUGUCGGAUCUCAUGCGCCAGAUCUGCCGCGACGCGACGGACCCCAACUACAAGUGGCUGCUAUUUGACGGCCCCGUUGACACGCUAUGGAUUGAGAGCAUGAACACCGUGCUGGACGACAACAGGAUGCUGACGCUGAACUCCGGCGAGCGUAUCAACAUGAACCCGACCGUGCGUAUGCUGUUCGAGGUGCAGGACCUGUCUCAGGCGUCGCCGGCCACGGUGUCCCGGUGCGGCAUGGUGUACUUCAGCGUCGAGGAUCUCACCUGGAGGCCGUUCGUGAGCACGUGGCUGCAGUCGCGCCGCGACUUCGAGGUGGCCAUGAACGCACCCAAGCCAGACAGUACCAUCAGCGAGCUGCAGACGUUCGUAGAUGAGGCGCUGACUCGUGCAUUGCAGUUCAAGCGCAGCGAGUGCGCUGACCUGAUCCCGACGACGGAGUUCAACACGAUUCGCUCCUUUACCACGAUGCUGGACGCGUUGGCGAAUACCGAGGCGGCCCCGGUGAUGCCCGGUGGCACGCACUACCAGGCAGCGCAGGCGGGCGAGAAUUACUUGCCGCAGCUCCGCAUGAUGGCGAUGUUCUGCCUCAUCUGGGCCGUGGGCGGCAGCCUGACAGUCGACUCCCGCCGCAAGCUCGAUGCCUUUGUGCGAGAGAUGGACUCCUCCUUCCCUUCGAUGGAGACCGUCUUCGAGUACUUCCCGGACCUGUCGUCGCUGCGCUGGGUCGGGUGGGAGGAACACCCGGACGUGCAGAAGCCGUUCGCGCCGCCGUCGGACACGCCGUACUACGAACAGAUCGUUCCCACGGUGGAUAUGAUUCGAUACUCGUACAUUGUCUCGCAACUCGUGCUCAGCAGCGUCCAGCUGGUGCUCGUCGGCACCACCGGCACAGGCAAGUCGCUCAUUGCGAACCAGGUGCUGCACGAUCUCCCUGCCGACAUGUACGUCGCGACGCACCUUCACUUCUCUGCUCAGACGACGGCGAAGAACGUACAGGACAUCAUCGAGGGCCGUAUGGAGCACACCUCGAAGAAGGUGUGCAACCCGCCCGGCGGGCGCCGCAUGGUGUGCUUGAUCGAAGACCUGAACAUGCCAUCCAAGGAGAUCUUCGGCGCGCAGCCGCCGCUCGAGCUGCUGCGGCAGUGGAUGGACAACGGCUACUGGUACGACCGCACGACGCGCUCCAAGCGGCUCGUGAAUGACAUGCAGCUGCUGUGCUGCAUGACGUAUGGCCGCCCCGACAUCACGGAGCGGCUGCUGAGCAAGCUGAACGUGUUCAACGUGGCGUUCCCAUCGGAGCCCGUGGUGGUGAGGAUCUACUCUGCCAUCCUGGGCCACCGCUUUGCCCCCUACAUCGACCUCAAGGGCUACGUGGACGCGAUCGUGCGCGCCACCAUCGAGGUGUACAUGAAGGUCUCUACCGAUCUCCUGCCCAUUCCAAGCAAGUCGCACUACCUCUUCACUCUUCGCGACCUCAGCAAGGUGUUCCAGGGUAUCUACGGCUGCUACCUGGAAGGAAUCACGAGUAAGGAGCACCUCGUGGCGUUGUGGGUGCACGAGUCGCAGCGCGUCUUCUCGGACCGGAUGAACGAUCCGGCCGACAAGGUGUGGUUCCGGCAGCUGCUCAAUGACAAGCUGAACAACGUGUUCCAAACAAAGUGGGCAAACAUGCUCAAGGCGCGCGGGAAGGAUUCGCGAGGUCAGGCCUUGUCGGAGAGCGAGAGCCCGAUCUUCGUCGAUUUCCUAGACGGAGAACAGGACGAGAUGGCAAAAUACAAGCUGGUGCCGUCGAUGGAGCAGCUGCGGCAGAUCGUGGAGGAGGGGCUUGAGAACUACAACACCGAGCCUGGCGCGCGGCCGAUGAACCUCGUCUUCUUCGCAGACGCGCUCGAGCAUCUGUGCCGCAUUCACCGCGUGCUGCGCCAGCCGCAGGGCAAUGCGCUGCUGGUGGGUCUCGGCGGCAGCGGCCGCAACUCGCUGAGCCGACUCGCCACGUACCUCGCCGGGUACUCGAUGUUCACCAUCGAGAUUCACAAGAAGUACGACCAGGAGCGCUUCCACGAGGAUCUGCGCACUCUCUACAAGGCGUGCGGUGUGAAGCGGCAGCAGAAGGUGUUCUACAUCGCCGACACGCAGCUCGUCGACUCGUCGUUCCUCGAGGACCUUAACAACAUGCUCUCCGCCGGAGAGGUGCCCAAUUUGUUCGCCAAGGACGACUUGCAGCAGAUCAACGACGACGUGCACAAGCUGGCUCUUCUGAGCGGGUGCCGCGAUUCGCCUGAUGAGCUGUACAACUUUUUUGUCCGUCAAGCCCGUCAGCAUCUCCACCUCGUCAUCGCCAUGUCUCCUGCCCACAAGCUCUUCCGCGUGCGCCUGCGUCAGUUCCCAGCGUUGGUGUCGUGCACGUCGAUCGACUGGUACUACGCAUGGCCGAACACGGCGCUCAAGGAGGUGGGUCUGCGCUACCUGCGUGACUCGCGCGACGAUUCCGCGGAGUCGGACGAGCUGCUGGAGACGAUCAGCGAUCUCUUCGUCUUUCUUCACGACACGACGAACCAGAGGGCGGAGCAGAUGCGGGUGCAGAUCCGCCGCCACACGUACGUGACGCCGUCCUCGUUUAUUGACCUCGUCCGCGGCUUCCGCUCGAUGCUGCACAGCAAGCGUAUCGACAUUAUUGAGCAGCGCGACAAGCUCGCCAACGGUAUGUCGAAGCUGGAGGAGACGAAGGUGACGGUGAGCGAGAUGCGCGAGGCUCUCAAGGUGCAGGACGAACGGCUGCAGGCCAAGUCGGCCGAAGUGAGCAGGGCUACGGAGAGCAUCCAAGCGCGGCAGCACAUCGCCGAGGAGCAGCAGACUCUCGUGGCGUCAGAGAAGGUGAAGAUCGAGCAGACAAAGCGGGCCGCCUUGGCGGACCAGGCCGAGGCGCAGGCCGAUCUCGACCGAGCCAUGCCCACCCUGCUGGAGGCUCAGGCGGCGCUGGACAAGCUGGACAAGAGCGACAUCAACGAGGUGAAGUCUUACAAGACGCCUGCUGUGAUGAUUCGCACGGUGAUGGAGGCGGUGCAGACCGCACUGCACCGCAAGCUCGACUGGGACGAGGCGAAGAAGUCGCUGAGCGAACCCAAGUUCAUUGACAUGCUCAAGACGUAUCACGAGACACACGACAUGACGGAUCAGAAGCUGCUCAACGCGCUGGAGAAGUACGUGAAGCGCAACGACUUUACGCCGGCGGCGGCGAGCGCCGUGUCAAAGGCGGCGGGUGGGCUGUGCCAGUGGGUGAUUGCGAUCCACAAGUACGGCAACAUCUACAAGGAGGUGCAUCCGAAGAUUGUGAAGAACGAGAACGCGCAGCAGAAGGUGCGGGCGCAGGAGGAGAUGCUGCGCCAGAAGGAGGAGAAGCUGCAGAGGAUCGUGGACGAGGUGCGCCAGCUCGAGGCGGACCUGCAGGCGAACAUUGCCGAAAAGAACCGCCUCAUGGCCGAGGCGCGUGCGACGCAGGACAAGCUGAACAAGGCCCAGAUCAUCGUCGACGGUCUUGAGGGCGAGCGAGGGCGGUGGACCGAGUCGAUUGCACGCUUCGAGUUAGACUUGGAGAACAUCAACGGCGAGACACUCCUUGCGUGCGCAUUCAUGUGCUACUGCGGGGCCUUCACAGCCGAGUACCGGCAGUUGCUGUGGCAGAGCUGGAUGAAGGAGGUGCGGCGGGUGCAGCUGCCGCUGAACCGAGACUACGACUUCGUCAACUUCCUCGCUGACCCGACGGAGGUGCUUGACUGGCAGCAGGCCGGGCUUCCGGGGGACGAGUUCAGCAGGGAGAACGGCGCCGUGGUCGUCUUCGGUCCUCGCUAUCCUCUCAUGAUUGACCCGCAGCAGCAGGCCAUCAAGUGGGUGAAGCGGAUGGAGCGCGACAACGGUCUCAAGGUCAUUGACCCGAAGCAGCCGGACUUCCAGAAGACCGUCGAGUACGCGAUUCAGUUCGGCUGCCCGCUGCUGCUGCAGGACGUGCUGGAGGAGAUCGACCCCCUGCUCGACCCCAUCAUGUCGCGCUCCUUCAUCAUGAAGGGCAAGCGCAAGCUCGUGAAGGUCGGCGACAACUACGUCGAGUUCAAGGAGGGCUUCAAACUAUACAUUACCACCCGACUGCCGAACCCGCACUACACCCCGGAGACGUGCACGAAGGUGUGCCUGCUGAACUUUGCGGUCAAGGAGCAGGGGCUGGAGGAGCAGCUGCUGAAGAUUGUGGUGGAAAAGGAGAAGCCGGAGCUGGAACACGAGAACGAGCAGCUCAUCCUCCACACCGCUGCGGCCAAGAAAGAAAUGAAGCAGCUGGAGGAGGACAUCCUCGACCUGCUUUCCACCUCCCAGGUGUCGCUCCUCGAGAACCAGCGGCUCAUCGAGACGCUGCAGACGGCCAAGGUGACGGCGGCGAACAUCCAGAACCAGCUGCAGGUGGCAGAGACAACAUCUGUGAAGAUUCGCGAGGCCCGCGAGGAGUACCGUGAGUGCGCACGGCGUGCCUCGUUGCUGUUCUUUGUCCUUGCGGACCUCGGCGCCAUCGACAGCAUGUACCAGUUUGCCCUAGACUCCUACAUUCAGCUGUUCCAGACGAGUAUACGGCGCUCGUCGGAGAAGAUCGUGUCUCACGAAAUGGAGGAGCGCAUCAAGACGCUGAACGAGUGGCACACGGCCGCCGUGUACACGAACACGUGUCGCGGCUUGUUUGAGCGCCACAAGCUGCUCUUCGCCUUUCACAUGACGAUGCGCAUCCUGCAGAUGCAGGGGUUGGUGAACAUCGAGGAGUACGUCUUCAUGAUGCGCGGGGCGCAGAUGCUGGACAAACAGAGCCGCUUGCCAAACCCCGCAAGCGCGUGGCUCUCCGAGCGUGCGUGGGACCACGUUUUGGAGCUGGAGCGGCUGAGCGCCUUCCACGGCAUCGCCGCUCACUUUGAGCAGAAGCCCGAUGAGUGGCGCGCGUGGUACCUCCUGGAGCGACCCGAGGAGGCCCUGCUGCCGGAGGAGUGGGAGGCGCGGUGCGGUGGCAAUGCGCUGCAGCGCAUGAUCUUCACGCGCUGCCUGCGCCCUGACCGACUCGUCUUUAUGGUUUACGAGUUCAUUGAGGAGCAGCUCGGCAGCCAAUUCGUGGACCCGCCUGUGUUCAAUCUCAAGGACACUUUCGAUGAGAGCACCAACACAAUUCCGCUCAUCUUUGUGCUCUCUAACGGCGUGGACCCGACGAAGCAGCUGCAGUCGCUGGCGCAGCGCGAGGGUCGUGAGCUGAAGGUGCUAGCGCUGGGGCAGGGCCAGGGUGACAACGCCAAGCGCGCCCUGCAAGAGUACAGCCAAACGGGCGGGUGGGUCUUCCUCGCCAAUUGCCACCUAAUGGUGUCAUGGCUGGUGGAGCUGGAGAAGAUCAUCGACGCAAUCUUUGAACAGAAUCCGCAUCGCGACUUCAGGCUCUGGCUGAGCUCCGUGCCGACGCCGCAGUUCCCGAUUGGCGUGCUGCAGCGCUCCAUCAAGAUGACAACGGAGCCGCCGAAGGGGAUCAAGGCGAACAUGCUGCGCCUGUACAACACGUUCAGUGAGGAUGACCUGGCGAUCCGCAGCGCUGAACACCCCCUCAUCUACCGCAAUCUUCUCUACGCGCUGUGCUUCUUCCAUAGCGUGCUGCUGGAGCGGCGCAAAUACGGCACUCUCGGCUACAACGUCCUCUACGACUUUACGUCCUCCGACUUUGACGUCUCGGAGAACAUCAUCCAGCUGUAUAUUGGUCACAUGCACUCCGAUGCCGUCGAGGACGUUCCGUUCGUCACCAUCCGCUACCUCAUCGCAGAGGCCUCGUACGGCGGCCGCGUCACGGACGACUGGGACCGGCGCGUGCUGAACACGUACAUGGCACAGUACAUGUGCCCAGACGCCAUCACGCAGAGUCGCUACCCCCUCGCGGCGGCUGACGAAUACUGCAUCCCGGAAGACUGCAACACGCUGCUGGCGUACAAGAAUCACUGCGGCCAGCUUCCCAUCACCGACCCGCCGGAGGCCUUUGGGCAGCACGCGAACGCCGACAUCGCCAGUCGAAUCGCAGAGUCAACGGCGUUGCUAGACUGCCUUAUCAGCGUGAACACCUCGUUGGUGCGCGACGGCGGCGGAAGCAGCAGCGGCAGCGCGCAGGCGGUCACGCAGGAAGAUCGCUGUCUCGAGAUCCUGGCCUCCAUCGAGGAGCCGAGCAAGGCCGCCACACCGAACCUGCUUGACUAUACCGCCAUCUACGAUUCAACCGAGGGAGACCGCGACAACGCCCUCAACACAUGCCUCCUACAGGAGGUGCAGCGCUACAACGCGCUCUUGAAGACGAUUCACCGGCAGAAGGCGGAACUGCGCCGCGCCGUGAAGGGCGAGAUCGUCAUGUCGGAGCAGCUGGAGGCCAUUUUUAACGCGCUGCUGCUCGGCCGCGUGCCGCCGCCGUGGACGAGCGCCUACCCGAGUCUGAAGCCACUGGCGAGCUGGGCGGUGGACCUCGUUGAGCGCGUGGAUCAGAUGCGGCUGUGGAGUCAGCGCACGCCGACGGUGUUCUGGCUCUCAGGCUUUACAUACCCCACCGGCUUUCUCAAGAGCCUGCAGCAGCAGCAGGCGCGCCGGGACCAGAUCUCGAUCGACCAGUACGACUGGGAGUACGCCAUCCUGCCGAGCGAGGAGCGCGCCAUCGCCCAUCGGCCAAAGAAGGGCGCGUACGUGCGCGGAAUCUUUCUCGAGGGCGCCGGGUGGAACGGGGAGGCGAACACGCUCUGUGAGCCGAAGCCGAUGGAGCUGAUUGUGUCGAUGCCGGUGAUCCACUUCAAGCCGAAGCUCCGCUCGGGCAAGGCAAAGUCGGCGAGUGUGUACGAGUGUCCCUUGUACAUGUACCCGAUCCGCACCGGCACCCGUGAACGUCCCUCCUACGUUGUUGCGGUGGACCUGGAGUCGGGCGACGCGGUGCCAGAGACGUACACGAAGCGUGGUACGGCGCUGCUGCUCUCCACAGACGAGUAGCGAGAUGGACUGCGUGCCCGUUUCUACUUAAGUUUUUUGUUUUGUUUUGUGGGGCUGAUGUGGUGGACGCCGUCGAUGCAUGGCUGUCGGUGUGCAGGCGCCCAUCCAUGUGCGCAUAGGCGGUUGCCUGUCUCCAGGCUGUGUAUGCGUGAGCUAGCAGCCGCUUUUCUUCUCCGCAUAGACGGCAAUCUAUUAGUGCGAGAAGACAGCGCUGCUGACCGCGCGCCAUCUUUUUUAUCGCUCUCAUCGCUGGCAGUGUGCAUGUUGCGGGGUGAAGCCACCGGCAAGGAGGCGACGGAAGGGUGAGGGGAGGCCGUCGGCGUAGCACCAGUGCGUGUGUUGGCGUUCACUCUCCUUCUCUCGGCUUUCUCUUCGUGCCUGUGGCCUCAUCGACUUCCUCUUUUUGCUUUUUGACAUUGCCGCUGUGUGGGUAUGCGCGCCUGGCCUGGUGUCUCUCGGGCAUGGGUGCGUGCCUGCUGCAUAUGUGUGGCGCGUGGUGUCUGUGCUCUGUGUAGCGAAAGGAGGCGUGUGCCUCCUCAGCUCUGAGCACCUCUCUUGCCUCUCUUGCCCGGACGGAGGAAGGUGAUGCGCACAGACACCAGCGACCCCGAGCGAGCGAGAGGCGCUUUCAUCAUAGAGGAACCGAUUCGAUGGUCUUGCCGUGAUCACUUCGAUGUACAGAUCCCUCCUUCAUGUUAUUCUCCUUGCCGCGUGGACGCCCCACGUGCGCCUUCUCCGGUAUGUACACGAAAUACAGGCGUGCGCGUGAGUCCGCACGCCUCGCUCGUCUUUCUCGGUCUCCAUGCUGAUCCUCCCUUGAAACGAAAAAAAAAACUCCUUCAAGGCCAAGCUCAGCGUGCUUGUGUGCGUGUGGGAUCUGUGUGUGUGGGGGGGGGGAGGCUCCGAGCACGCGCGCCUCGAGCUCGCAUAGAUGUCCGUCAGAGGUGUCUUCAGUGA
This 16194-nucleotide unclassified non-coding RNA is filed under the name Leishmania donovani. Its description in RNAcentral is "gene:LdHU3.23.2100(CDS-product:dynein_heavy_chain _putative)". Lineage: Eukaryota; Euglenozoa; Kinetoplastea; Trypanosomatida; Trypanosomatidae. The record is from RNAcentral.